AACGCCUGGAACAAUCAUCAGAAAGGAACGGGGAAGACUGUGUAACCAAUCUGCUCCUUUCCACAUUACUCAUCAUCUCAGCCUCUUACCUUAAUGAAAUAUAUGAGUGGCACCUCUGGAAAUUGCUAAAUGGCCACAGUAGCUACCAUUCCUCUGUGUUGAAAGAGGUUAAACUGCCCAAAGACAUAAUUUCAAGUCUUAAUUGAAUGCCAGCAAUUGAACCAUGAGCAGGAUCCCUGAAGAAUGGCCCGCGGGACAGAUUCACUCGGUGACAGGCAGUGACAGUCAGAGCCCAACAAGGAUGCCGGUGCCACCAGAUGUUGCCGAAGCUCAUAAACUGGGUCAGCACAACCACGCUGUUGCAAGAGGUUCCGAACAAAGUGGGCCAGUUGAGGACACACGGCCGCUCAGGAGCUCCCAUGCAGGCAGCUGCUCAGAGACACAAGAAUUAUUAGGUAUCUCCAAAGGCUAUACAAGGAAACUGAAGACGACACAUAGAGUGAAAAAAAAAAAAAAAAAAAACCCAAGGUUGGAAAUGAUUAACUUGGACCAUAUUAAAAAAAUAUAAAGCUAAGCAGUUAAAUUUUAUCACUUGAAUGGAGGAUAUUAGUAGCCUGAAAUUCCUCGGCUUGUUUGGAAUGAUGUUACAGGUUAAUAUCCUGAAAACUGUGCCAACGCUUCAUGUUCUAGGCUUGUUUAUACCACAGCAUAAAUAGCGCACUUGUGGGUGCAUCUAGGUGUCUUUUUUACUAAUUCAUAGAGAUCCAUAAAAACUACAAAUAAAGGACGGUUCUCCAGACCA
This 802-nucleotide long non-coding RNA is filed under the name Vulpes vulpes (red fox). RNAcentral's name for it is "lncRNA (ENSVVUG00000025298.1)". The record is from RNAcentral. Lineage: Eukaryota; Metazoa; Chordata; Mammalia; Carnivora; Canidae.